UUAAGUUCAGCGGGUAUUCCUACCUGAUCCGAGGUCAACCUAAGAAGUUUAGGGGGGUUUAGCGGCUGGAACCCGACUGGAUCCGCCGAGCGAGGGCGCGUUUUACCGCGUGUUACUGCGCUCAGGGUCCCGACGAGCCCGCCGAUGGACUUGGGGGCCCCGGGGCCGCUGGGCGGCCGGGUGCCCCAACACCAAGCUGG
Molecule: unclassified non-coding RNA, 200 nt
Filed under: Slopeiomyces sp.
Lineage: Eukaryota; Fungi; Ascomycota; Sordariomycetes; Magnaporthales; Magnaporthaceae
Description: partial internal transcribed spacer 2
Source: RNAcentral